GACGAACGCUGGCGGCGUGCCUAAUACAUGCAAGUAGAACGCUGAAGGAGGAUCUUGCUCUUCUGGAUGAGUUGCGAACGGGUGAGUAACGCGUAGGUAACCUGCCUGGUAGCGGGGGAUAACUAUUGGAAACGAUAGCUAAUACCGCAUAACAGUAGAUGUUGCAUGACAUUUACUUAAAAGGUGCAAUUGCCUCACUACCAGAUGGACCUGCGUUGUAUUAGCUAGUUGGUGGGGUAACGGCUCACCAAGGCGACGAUACAUAGCCGACCUGAGAGGGGGGUCGGCCACACUGGGACUGGGACACGGCCCAGACUCCUACGGGAGGCAGCAGUAGGGAAACUUCGGCAAUGGACGGAAGUCUGACCGAGCAACGCCGCGUGGGUGAAGAAGGUUUUCGGAUCGUAAAGCUCUGUUGUAAGAGAAGAACGAGUGUGAGAGUGGAGAGUUCACACUGUGACGGUAUCUUACCAGAAAGGGACGGCUAACUACGUG
RNAcentral lists this ribosomal RNA (495 nucleotides) under uncultured bacterium. RNAcentral describes it as "partial 16S ribosomal RNA". It matches the Rfam family "Bacterial small subunit ribosomal RNA", at positions 28 to 507 of the family's 1533-position model. The record is from RNAcentral.